CUUGUCCUUCCCCGCCUAUAUACCGCCGUCGUCAGCCCACCCUGUGAAGGCCCAGUAGUGAGCAAAGUUGGCAUAGCCCAAAACGUCAGGCCGAGGUGUAGCGUAUGAGAAGGGAAGAAAUGGGCUACAAUUGCUAAAACAGCUAAAACGAAUUGCUACGCUGAAAACGCACACAUGAAGGAGGAUUUAGAAGUAAGGAGGCAAACAGAGUGUCCCCCUGAAAUGGUUCUGAAGCGUGCACACACCGCCCGUCACUCUCCCCAAGCAAGAACAUUUAACAAUAACUAAAAAAUAAUAUCCUACAAAGGGGAGGCAAGUCGUAACAUGGUAAGUGUACCGGAAGGUGUACUUGGAAGAAUU
This 360-nucleotide ribosomal RNA is filed under the name Jaydia striata. Its description in RNAcentral is "partial 12S ribosomal RNA". It matches the Rfam family "Bacterial small subunit ribosomal RNA", at positions 1024 to 1533 of the family's 1533-position model. The record is from RNAcentral. Lineage: Eukaryota; Metazoa; Chordata; Actinopteri; Kurtiformes; Apogonidae.